AGCAGUAGCCACGGGAAUACGUAGGGGGCAAGCGUUAUCCGGAUUCAUUGGGCGUAAAGCGCUCGUAGGCGGUCUGUUAGGUCGGGAGUUAAAUCCGGAGGCUCAACCUCCGUUCGCUCCCGAUACCGGCAGACUUGAGUUUGGUAGGGGAAGGUGGAAUUCCUAGUGUAGCGGUGGAAUGCGCAGAUAUUAGGAAGAACACCAGUGGCGAAGGCGGCCUUCUGGGCCAUAACUGACGCUGAGGAGCGAAAGCUAGGGGAGCAAACAGGAUUAGAUACCCCAGUAGUCCCUGUCUCUUAUACA
Molecule: ribosomal RNA, 303 nt
Filed under: uncultured bacterium
Lineage: Bacteria
Description: partial 16S ribosomal RNA
Rfam family: Bacterial small subunit ribosomal RNA
Source: RNAcentral